This 348-nucleotide unclassified non-coding RNA is filed under the name soil metagenome. Its description in RNAcentral is "partial contains 5.8S ribosomal RNA, internal transcribed spacer 2, and large subunit ribosomal RNA". The stretch from base 1 to 120 matches the Rfam family "5.8S ribosomal RNA", at positions 35 to 154 of the family's 154-position model. The record is from RNAcentral.
GAUGAAGAACGCCGCAAAAUGCGAUAAGUAAUGUGAAUUGCAGAAUUCAGUGAAUCAUCGAAUCUUUGAACGCACAUUGCGCCCGCUGGUAUUCCGGCGGGCAUGCCUGUUCGAGCGUCAUUUCAACCCUCAAGCCCCCGGGUUUGGUGUUGGGGAUCGGCUCUGCCCUUCUGGGCGGUGCCGCCCCCGAAAUACAUUGGCGGUCUCGCUGCAGCCUCCAUUGCGUAGUAGCUAACACCUCGCAACUGGAACGCGGCGCGGCCAUGCCGUAAAACCCCAACUUCUGAAUGUUGACCUCGGAUCAGGUAGGAAUACCCGCUGAACUUAAGCAUAUCAAUAAGCGGAGGA